This 450-nucleotide ribosomal RNA is filed under the name Enterococcus mundtii. RNAcentral describes it as "bacterial SSU rRNA". It matches the Rfam family "Bacterial small subunit ribosomal RNA", at positions 345 to 787 of the family's 1533-position model. The record is from RNAcentral. Lineage: Bacteria; Bacillati; Bacillota; Bacilli; Lactobacillales; Enterococcaceae.
GAGGCAGCAGUAGGGAAUCUUCGGCAAUGGACGAAAGUCUGACCGAGCAACGCCGCGUGAGUGAAGAAGGUUUUCGGAUCGUAAAACUCUGUUGUUAGAGAAGAACAAGGGUGAGAGUAACUGUUCACCCCUUGACGGUAUCUAACCAGAAAGCCACGGCUAACUACGUGCCAGCAGCCGCGGUAAUACGUAGGUGGCAAGCGUUGUCCGGAUUUAUUGGGCGUAAAGCGAGCGCAGGCGGUUUCUUAAGUCUGAUGUGAAAGCCCCCGGCUCAACCGGGGAGGGUCAUUGGAAACUGGGAGACUUGAGUGCAGAAGAGGAGAGUGGAAUUCCAUGUGUAGCGGUGAAAUGCGUAGAUAUAUGGAGGAACACCAGUGGCGAAGGCGGCUCUCUGGUCUGUAACUGACGCUGAGGCUCGAAAGCGUGGGGAGCAAACAGGAUUAGAUACCC